RNAcentral lists this transfer RNA (84 nucleotides) under Choricystis parasitica. RNAcentral's name for it is "tRNA-Leu". It matches the Rfam family "tRNA". From Rfam's summary of the family: Transfer RNA (tRNA) molecules are approximately 80 nucleotides in length. Their secondary structure includes four short double-helical elements and three loops (D, anti-codon, and T loops). The record is from RNAcentral. Lineage: Eukaryota; Viridiplantae; Chlorophyta; Trebouxiophyceae.
GCUUCUGUGAUGAAAUGGUAGACAUGCCACGUUGAGGUCGUGGUGCUGGUAUACAGCAUGGCGGUUCGAGUCCGCCCAGAAGCA